Stomoxys calcitrans (stable fly) is the source of this 45-nucleotide non-coding RNA. NCBI's taxonomy places the organism in Eukaryota, Metazoa, Arthropoda, Insecta, Diptera, Muscidae. The record is from Rfam.
AAAUUGGCUUUUAUUAAAGCCACUUCUUUAAUAAAAAAAACCUAA